RNAcentral lists this ribosomal RNA (256 nucleotides) under uncultured bacterium. RNAcentral's name for it is "partial 16S ribosomal RNA". It matches the Rfam family "Bacterial small subunit ribosomal RNA", at positions 524 to 776 of the family's 1533-position model. The record is from RNAcentral.
GACGUAGGUGGCGAACGUUAUCCGGAAUUAUUGGGCGUAAAGGGUGCGUAGAUGGUCUAGAAAGUUAGUAGUGGGAAAUCGAGGCCCAACCUCGUGGAAACUAUUGAUACUGUUAGACUAGAGAACAGGAGGGGUUAACGGAAUGGUAUGUGGAGGGGUAAAAUCCAACGAUAUAUACUGGAACACCAAUAAAGGCGAAGGCAGUUAACUAUUCUGCUUCUGACAUUGAGGCACGAAAGCGUGGGGAGCAAAACGG